UGGGGAAUAUUGCACAAUGGGCGCAAGCCUGAUGCAGCCAUGCCGCGUGUGUGAAGAAGGCCUUCGGGUUGUAAAGCACUUUCAGCGAGGAGGAAGGUGGUGAACUUAAUACGUUCAUCAAUUGACGUUACUCGCAGAAGAAGCACCGGCUAACUCCGUGCCAGCAGCCGCGGUAAUACGGAGGGUGCAAGCGUUAAUCGGAAUUACUGGGCGUAAAGCGCACGCAGGCGGUUUGUUAAGUCAGAUGUGAAAUCCCCGGGCUCAACCUGGGAACUGCAUUUGAAACUGGCAAGCUAGAGUCUCGUAGAGGGGGGUAGAAUUCCAGGUGUAGCGGUGAAAUGCGUAGAGAUCUGGAGGAAUACCGGUGGCGAAGGCGGCCCCCUGGACGAAGACUGACGCUCAGGUGCGAAAAGGCGUGGGGGAGCAAACAGGAUUAGAUACCCUGGUAGUCCACGCUGUAAAACGAUGUCGAUUUUGGAGGUUGUGCCCUUGAGGCGUGGCUUCCGGAGCUAACGCGUUAAAUGACCGCCUGGGGAGUACGG
This 542-nucleotide ribosomal RNA is filed under the name uncultured bacterium. RNAcentral describes it as "partial 16S ribosomal RNA". It matches the Rfam family "Bacterial small subunit ribosomal RNA", at positions 355 to 885 of the family's 1533-position model. The record is from RNAcentral.